GCAAUAUCGACCAUUCUUGAAAAUUUUGACAAUACGUUAAAAAAUAUGGCAUUAAUAAACCAUUGUUGUUUUGCUUAUUUUUAUUUAUACAGGGAGUUGAACUUGUUACGAUUUUCAUAUAAAAUUGGUUAUAACUUUGUAAAUACCCUGUAUAACAUAACAAACCUUUAUAUUUUUGUGAUGGAGAAGUUAACAGGAUUUCGAAUUUAAAAUAAAAUAUAGGGUGUUCCAUUUAAAAAAACAUAAGUUUGGUCUGCCACUGUGUUAUCGAACACCCUGUAACAUUCUAACUAAUUUUGUAAUGUGAAGCUCAAAGGUGGCUAAAAUUUUUGUCAUUAACUUAUAUUGCUAUCUAUUACUAUAGCGGAGCUAUUGAGCUUUACCCUACUAAUCAAUCACCCUGUAUGCUUCAUUCCUGUUGUGUAUUGAAGUGUGGAAUGCGAAGUAAAUGUGAUAAAGUUCAGUUUUAUCGGUUAUCAUGAGUGCUACAUUUUAAGCAUAAAUCUGAAAUAAAUAAGUUAUCAUCUGAGAGACAAAAACAAUGGUUAAAUGCUAUAAAAUGUCGUAUAGAAAUGCUCAAUAACUAACUAUGUCCAGGUUGCUUACGCUUGGAAAAUUUUCUCCAUUGUAGGUUAAUUCAGACUCCUUGAGGGAAAAUGAAUCAGUAUUAUUUAUUUUGCCAAUCUUUUAUGUUUCACUCAUGUUUAUUUAUUCACUGCUUAAAACUAAAUAAAGGCGUUCAAGUACUUCUACAAUUAAAAACUACACAAAAUCAAUAACAAAAUGUUCGGAAAAUACAACUAAAAAACUACUAAAGGUAAAACACUUAAGAAACACAAUGUGUGGUACAAAUAUAAACAAAUACAAUGUUUGACAGUUUGACUCCCAACGGUGUGAUAAACGUCAAAGUCCUGGAAUGCCCUAUAGUAUCAAAAUUUCAUAAAUGUCAAUAGUGUCAAAAUUUCAUAAUUUAGUGGAGUAAAAUGGACCAAUUACAAACAAGCAUUCCCACGGUUAUUAGACUUUAUUACGGUUGUCUUGUCCGACGGUGGCGGGGAGACUUAUAUUUUUGAUUUUACGUCACAAGAGUUUACAUUCCCAUAUUUUUAAAUGAUUUUCGAUCAUUGAAUGUGUGCUAUUGUGUAUAUAUGUGUAUUAUUUGUGUUAUUAUGAAAUAAUUAGACGAAUAGUACACAUUUUAUCUUAUACCGGGUGGGGAAUCGUAAAAAGGGCCAUAGGAAACUCAAUGUAAAAUUCUGAAUUGUUGAAUUCAUGCUUCCCUAAUUAUUUUACAUCAAAAGUCAUGAGAGAAUACUUGUAGAGAAUUAAAAUCUGUAUUAAAAUCAAAAGUUAAAAUUGUUCUACGAUUUAAAUGUAUUCCAAAAUUUUGAAAAAUAUGAUACAUUUGCCACAAUAGGUAUGCGUGUAAAAGUAAGGCCACACGUUACUAUUUAACUGACAGUGCUCACACCAUUGACUGAAUAAAAAAAUCUUUAUUAUUAAUCCUUUCUCCGCAACUGAGGGUAUCUUAUCAACUGUAUUGUUUUUAAACAAUAGAUUAUAAAAUAAAAAUAUUGACAGUUCAAAAAUGUGCAUUGAAAAACAUUCUUGCAUUGUGUGUGGCCUAAGUUUGGGCUGAAAACUAAAAUGUAUUACAUUUUUACAAAAUUUUGGAAUAUGUUUAAUUACGUAGACCAAUUUUAACAGUUAUUUCCAAUACAGAUUUCAAUCCUCUACAAAUAGUUUCUAAUGUUUUUUGAUGUACAAUAAUUAUUAGGGAAGCUGGAAUUCAACAGUUCAGAAUUUUACAUUGAGUUAAUGCAAAAUUUUGACGCAUGUCAAAAUUCUCAAUGUGUUUUAAUUGUAUUCAUUUUUUUCGAAUCCUGAGAAAACUAAUAAAUAUUUUUGAAAAAUUUAAACUCAGAAUGAAAGACUAAAUUAUUAACGAGGGCUGAAAGUCCCUGAAAACUUCUAUAAUGUUUAUUUUAAUAAGUUACAGGGCUGAAAAUAAAAGAGAAGUGUGAUAUUUAAUUUCAAAUAUUUCAUUCAAUAGAAUCUGCUUGUUUAUUCUAAGGGGCUUUCCGCCCUCGGUAAUAAUGUAAUCUUGCAUCCUGCGUUUAAAUUUUUCUAAAAUACUUGGUUCUCUCAGGAUUCGAAAAAAAUCAUAUUACGAUUCAAAUGACAGUAAACUCUCGUGACGUAAUCUCACCCUUAAUGUUCAUUGGUUAGUCGAUUUAGGCAACCGUAGUAAUGUCUAAGAACCGUGAAGCAUUCCUAGUUUAAAAAGUGAUAUAGAUACCUAAUUCCGAACAUUUAGUUGCCACGAUAUUAUGCAAUAUUUUAAUUUAUUUUUGCACCAACACUGCGAUUCAAAGUGUAUAGAAAUCAAGUCAUUUCAAUAUCUGAUUAUUAAUGACAGAUUUUAAUAUAUUGGUAAUCUCGGUCUUCGGAAGAUUUUCUGAUUUGUUUUGAUCAGUUUGCCUUUUGUUUGUUGACUCCAAUCUUUUACAAUUUUAAGUAGCUACCUUUAAUCUAUCUGUUUUUUAGCUGGUCUAUCGACUUCAACUUUCGUAGAUCGUCAUGAUUUUGAUCGAUUUAAUUUGAAGCUUAUGGGCAUUUGCAAUGUCCCCCGUAGAUAUCAACAUUAUGCAUUUUAAUUUUUCUUGUAAUGUAUUAAGUGAUAUAUUGUUAUUGCUUUUAUUUACAUUUACAAAAUUUCCAAUAAAUUACAAUAUUUUAUUUUUAUCAAAUGUAAUUACGUAUUUCGAAAUGAAUAUACUUAUUUAUAUAUUAUUCCUAAUUACUCUUAGUCCAGGCUGUAUCGUCGGCCCCGUUAGGUAAAUUAUUCCGAUUCGAUUUUUUUACACAAACUUACUCAACAAGAGGUCCUUAUAAUAAAUUCACUGGGUGCCAGGCGGUACCGUGGUCAAAAAAUUGUUUAAACAAUUUUUUUAAACAAAUUCACAAAAAUAAUUUGUUCACUUUGGAAUUUUUUUUUAGAUUCUUUGGGUCAUUCUGAGCAAAAAAGGUCUCUUGUAAUUUUUCUCUAAAAUUAAUUGUUGUCGAGUUAUAUGCGAUUUAAAAUUUGAAAAACGCGAAAAUAACUAUUUUAAAGGUUUAAUAAUUCGGUUAAAAAUAAAUAUUAUGAAAGUCAGAAACUGACCAAAUCAAAGUUUAGCCCCCUUUACAAGGCCCUGAAGAAAUUUUUGUCAUUAUUUUAUUACUAAGAUGUUAUUUUUAAUAGGGAACUUGCAUAUAUUUUUAAAUAUUAAAAUAAUAUUAAAAAAUAUAAGGUAACAUGAUCAUAAAACGCAUGCAUGCAAAAAAACAAAUAUUGUUAACCCAUAGGCUUAUUACGAGACAUUGAAAAAGCUAUAAAAUUCAAAUUUCUUCAGAGGCGCGUUAACGGGUCUGACGUCACGACCCACGUCUACCUGCUAGAUUUCUAUGAGUCGACAACAAAACCGCUAGGAUAUUUCGAAAUUAUUUACAAAUUCAUUCACGUUUACUUAAAACUCUCAUGUAGAAGUUGAUUGUAAAUAAAAGUUCAAAAAAGGUUGUUUUGGGGAUUGUAUUAAUUCCAUUUUAAUCAUAUUAUUUAAUUGGAAAUUCCAAGGUAUUUGUGUUCUUGUAUAGUUCCAUAAUGAGUAUAUUUAGUUUCAAACCGAAAUUGAUCAUUUUGAGUGCUACUUUAUAAAGUAGUGUUUUUAAAUGUAUAAUAUGACUGACUAGGGUUUUUCAAAAAGUUAAUCUGACAAUCUACAGUACCUAGUUGAUUUCUUCAUGGUGGCAAAUUUUAUAAAAAGCAGUGAAAGUUAUUCUAUUGGAGAAAUGCGAGGAGGCAAAUAAGUAGGUACCUAUUAUAAGUAUUAUUAAUAAACACGUUUAAAUUGUUUAUAACAAUAGUUUUAAGUUACUCUGACUUUUAUUACUAAAAGGUUUUGUUUAUUUUUAAGUUAUUUUUAUUUUCUUUCUUCUUUGUUAUGAAUUUAAAAUAUUUAUAAAUUAUAGGUUUUAGUUUUGUUUAUUACAAAAUAUUACGACCAGAAGUACAUAUAUUUAUACAGAAGACAACCAAAUAACCAAUGUUACAAUGUACAAUGCAAAAGUACAGUUACAAAUAAUGUUUCUAUUUGAAAAAAAAAAGUGUUGAUUUUGCGUACCAGAUACACACUUUAAAAAUAAUUAAAAAUUUACAUAUAUUUGGAUAGAAUAUGACGCAGGUCUUACUGACAGUUUGAUUAGUAUAGCACAAGACUUUUGGAGUGUAAAUAUUUCCCGCAUCUAUUUGGAUCUGAUAAUUAUUAAAAAUAAAUGGAAUAAAAAUUUGAUAAAAUUAAGUUUCAUCCAUAAAAUAUUUUUUAUUUCUUUACGUGAGAAUGAAAUUCAUAUUUUAAACUAAAUAUAUAUUUAUAUAUUAUAAUAAAACAUUCUUUCUUUUUCUUUUAAUAAGUAAUUUUUUAGUAGUAUCUAUGUACUUAAAUUUUUUAAGAAAUAUGAUAUUAAUGUAGGCAUUUAAUUUUGUUCAAACUUUAUAAUAUAAUUUGGCAUUUGAGAUACAUAUGUUGUAAAAUAAAAAUGUAUUUCCCUAAACUAAAAAUAAUAUUAUGAAUGCAUGAAAAUCUUUACAAGAUAUUAUCUGCAGAGUGCACGUCUGGCACUAGGCAGUAGCCAAACGAGAACAGUGGUAAAUAUCAUGGUUGGUGACGUCAGACCCAAGCGCGCGCUUUUAAAGUUGUUUGAAACGGUAAUUUCGAGCGCGGAAUUAUAAUCAGUUGUUGUACGUACACUAUUAAUUGUUAAGACGUAAUAUUUUGAAUUUAUCACUUUUAAACAUAAAUUAACAAUUUUAUGCAAAAAUAUUUUUAUGUGCAAGUUCCCUAUUAUCAACAAUGAGCGCUAAGCGUGUAUUGAGGCGGCCGUCAAUGUGAGUGCAAGUGAGAUGCACCAUUGGACGGCCAGAAUGGUGCAUCUCUUUCGCACUCAACAUUGACGGCCGCCUAAUACGCUCUUAGCGCUCAUUGUUAAUAAUUAAAAAUAACAGCUUAGCAAUAAAAUAAUGACAAAAAUUGCUUCAGGAUCUGGUAGAGGGGACUUUAAACUUUGGUCACUUUCUGACUUUCAUAAUAAUUAUUUUUAACCCAGUUAUUAAGCCUUGAAAAUGGCCAUUUUUGCAUUUUUCAAAUUUUAAAUCGCGUAUAACUCGACAACAAUCAAUUUUAGAGAAAAAUUACAAGAGACCUUUUUUGCUCAGAAUGGCCGAAGUGAUCUAAAAAAAUUUGCUCGAAAUCAUACAAAUUUUCACUUCAAUAUUUUUGUGAAUUUGUUUAAAAAACAUUGUUUCAACGAUUUUUCGACCACGGUACCGCCUGGCACCCUGUGGAUUUGUUAUAAGGAUCUCUUUUUGAGUAAGUUUGUGCAAAAAAAUCGAAUCGGAAUAAUUUACCUAACGGGGGCGACGUUACAGUCUGGACUAUCUUGUAAUUGGGUUUUUUUGAAUGCUUAAAUUGUUUCGAUAUAAAUACGUAUUUACCAAUUCAAAAUAUUCAAUACUUGUUUUGCUGAUUCUUUAGCUAUAAUAAUAUGGCUCAAAUUAAAACUUUGUUUCUUGUUUUUGCUUUAGCUUUUAUAUUCUUUUCAGCUGUUGCUAAUGCUCAGUUAACUGACUGUUAUCCAGGUUAUUGCGCCCGAUGGGCUCGUAUCGUUUGCCCUGGUAUCGUUUUGACAUGUCAAAAUGUUGUGUCUUCCGGCCCUUGCGGUUGUUGCAAUUCAUGUGCAUAGUGUUACAUGUUGAUAUAAUGAUAUAAUGUGCAGAUACAGACCAAGUGGCAGAUAUAAUGUGUAGAUGAUAUCAAAUUUUUUUACGUAUAAAAUUUUAUGUGUGUACUAUAGAUAUUUUUAUUUUACAAAACGAAAUAAAUACCGAAUUAAAUGAUUAA
RNAcentral lists this long non-coding RNA (5939 nucleotides) under Diabrotica virgifera virgifera (western corn rootworm). RNAcentral's name for it is "uncharacterized LOC114329171". Lineage: Eukaryota; Metazoa; Arthropoda; Insecta; Coleoptera; Chrysomelidae. The record is from RNAcentral.